This 346-nucleotide long non-coding RNA is filed under the name Nicotiana benthamiana. RNAcentral describes it as "long non-coding RNA (NBEN_LNC006373)". Lineage: Eukaryota; Viridiplantae; Streptophyta; Magnoliopsida; Solanales; Solanaceae. The record is from RNAcentral.
CGCCCAUGAAUCCCCUUCUCUCAGCUCUCUCUCAAUCUCUCUUAGAAACCUAGCCACCUCCCUCUACUUCUACCUUAAACCACCGGAAUCCAUGGCUUCAAAGGCUAUCGGAGUCCUAUAUCGGCCUCCUAUGACUCUUACGCGCUUGUUUACUGAAGUUUCAAAGCUGGCCACAAAGAAGCUUGGUCCAGGCUUUGUUUGACUCAAGUUCUAUGGCCCUCUCCGGCCAUGCUCCGGCAAGCCAUGGUUGUUUCGAGCCUGAUCUAGACCUCUCCUACUUAGAUAAAUGACUCUCCAAGACUUUCUCACCAUCCGGUUUCUUCUGAAACCCUAGCCUUUGAGGUCC